RNAcentral lists this ribosomal RNA (1031 nucleotides) under uncultured bacterium. Its description in RNAcentral is "bacterial SSU rRNA". It matches the Rfam family "Bacterial small subunit ribosomal RNA", at positions 370 to 1363 of the family's 1533-position model. The record is from RNAcentral.
ACCAGUGCGAGUCUGCGCAGCGACGCCGCGUGAGCGAUGAAGGCCUUCGGGUCGUAAAGCUCUGUUGUUGGGAACGAACCGAUCGGGGAGGAAAUGCUCCGGUUCUGACGGUACCCAACGAGGAAGCCCCGGCUAACCCCGUGCCAGCAGCCGCGGUAAUACGGGGGGGGCGAGCGUUGUUCGGAAUUACUGGGCGUAAAGGGCGUGUAGGCGGCUAUGCAAGUCAGGCGUGGAAUCCCACGGCUCAACUGUGGAAUUGCGUUUGAAACUGCAUAACUUGAGUACAGGAGAGGAGAGCGGAAUUUCCAGUGUAGCGGUGAAAUGCUCAAAUAUUGGAAGGAACACCGGUGGCGAAGGCGGCUCUCUGGCCUGAUACUGACGCUGAGGCGCGAAAGCUAGGGGAGCGAACAGGAUUAGAUACCCUGGUAGUCCUAGCCGUAAACGUUGGGCACUAGGUGUGGGAGGUGUCGACUCCUUCUGUGCCGAAGCUAACGCAUUAAGUGCCCCGCCUGGGGAGUACGGUCGCAAGACUGAAACUCAAAGGAAUUGACGGGGGGCCCGCACAAGCGGUGGAGCAUGUUCUUUAAUUCGAAGCAACGCGAAGAACCUUACCGGGGUCUGACAUGCUUGGGAAAUCUCUAUGGAAACAUGGGGGUGUUCGUAAGGACGCCCUUGCACAGGUGUUGCACGGCUGUCGUCAGCUCCGUGUCGUGAGAUGUUGGGGUAAGUCCCGCACGAGCGCAACCCUUGCCUUAGGUGGCCAGCGGUUUCGGCGGGCACUCUAGGGGGACUGCCUCGGAUAACGGGGAGGAGGUGGGGACGACGUCAGUCAUCAUGGCCUAUGGUCCGGGCUAGAACGUGCUACAUGGCCGGACAAGGGUUGCGAUACGCGAGUGAACCAUCCAAAGGCGUCUCAGUCGAUUGGAGCUGCACUCGACUCAUGAGCCGAUCGUAGAUUCCGACCGCAGCCGUGAUACGUCAGGCUUUACCACGCGUCAAUGACUGGUGGUGCACCGAGUCUGGCUAACUUU